UACGAAGGGGGCUAGCGUUGUUCGGAAUUACUGGGCGUAAAGCGCGCGCAGGCGGUCUUCCAAGUCAGUGGUGAAAGCCCGGAGCUCAACUCCGGAACUGCCAUUGAAACUGUUAGACUUGAGGAUGAGAGAGGUGAGUGGAAUUCCCAGUGUAGAGGUGAAAUUCGUAGAUAUUGGGAGGAACACCAGUGGCGAAGGCGGCUCACUGGACCGGAACUGACGCUGAGGCGCGAAAGCGUGGGGAGCAAACGGG
RNAcentral lists this ribosomal RNA (253 nucleotides) under uncultured bacterium. RNAcentral describes it as "partial 16S ribosomal RNA". It matches the Rfam family "Bacterial small subunit ribosomal RNA", at positions 524 to 776 of the family's 1533-position model. The record is from RNAcentral.